This 253-nucleotide unclassified non-coding RNA is filed under the name rhizosphere metagenome. RNAcentral describes it as "partial ribosomal RNA internal transcribed spacer region". The record is from RNAcentral.
GUUGGUGAACCAGCGGAGGGAUCAUUACAGAGUUAUCUAACUCCCAAACCCAUGUGAACUUACCUUUUGUUGCCUCGGCAGUGCCUACCCUGUAGCCAGUUACCCUGUAGCCAGUUACCCUGUAACGACCUACCCUGUAGCCGGCUACCCUGUAGCGCCUGCCGGUGGACCAUUAAACUCUUGUUAUUUUUAAGUAAUCUGAGCGUCUUAUUUUAAUAAGUCAAAACUUUCAACAACGGAUCUCUUGGUUCUG